Molecule: unclassified non-coding RNA, 82 nt
Filed under: Pseudomonas libanensis
Lineage: Bacteria; Pseudomonadati; Pseudomonadota; Gammaproteobacteria; Pseudomonadales; Pseudomonadaceae
Source: RNAcentral
GGAGCGGGCUUGCUCGCGAAGGCGGUGGAUCGGUCAGCAGGUGUAUUGACUGACACACCACCUUCGCGAGCAAGCCCGCUCC